RNAcentral lists this long non-coding RNA (910 nucleotides) under Homo sapiens (human). RNAcentral's name for it is "long non-coding RNA NONHSAT073023.2". The record is from RNAcentral. Lineage: Eukaryota; Metazoa; Chordata; Mammalia; Primates; Hominidae.
CCUGGGGCUCCUGUGAAAACACUGGUGUCUGGGCCAACCAUGGAGUGUCUGGGUGGGGCCUGGGGGUCUGCACUUCUAACAGUUUCCCAGGGACAGUGCAGUUGCUGGCCUGGAGCAUGCUCGGCUGAGGACCGCUGCUCUGAUGCGUGGAGAAGAAACAUGAAGUCCGCAGCUGCCCACAUUCAGGGAAGAUCUUUGAAAGCUCUUCAGACAGUGCCACCCAUCUUCAUGAAGCUGAUCCCCGGAUCUCACUCGCUUGUUUCUCCUCCUUCACCUGCUGAUGAUCAAUGUAGACUUUAGCCCUCAGAAGCUCUCAAAAGUCCAGCGCAGAACUGCAUAAAGAAAGAGGAGCGCUCGGCCAUGCCGCACAGGUCCGGGAGGUUCGCGUUAAUGUACCCUGUUUUUGAGCCCAAGGAACAAGUAUUUAGUCAUGAUUGCCACUCGUUAUAGGCUCUGUUAACAGUGUAAAGAAAGUUGGAAGUUCUCUCCUGAGAAGAAGUAACUUCAAUGCGGAAGGACCCGGGCUUCUCAUGUUUCUCUUUGUAUCCCGACCGCCGGGAACUGCCUUACCUGCAGCUACAAAGUCCUGCAAGUGAGGCUUAGGACCCAGAUCUUGUGAACUGUUUUCACAUUUCCCCAUGGAUGCCUAGCAAGGGACUGGGACUGCCUGAUCCGCUUUGGUCAAGAGCACGUGGGUGGCCUGUGUGCAGGCUUAUCAUCAAUAAUUGCAGGACUUGGUGGAGUAUGGUUGAACAGGUGCUCAGACUGCAUGCGUGUCUAGCGAGGCCAUCCUGAAGCUGCAUGGGAGUUGUAAAAAAGUUACCAACAAGUUUUUAGUUAUUUGAAUAGGUUUUUGAAUAGAUUUGGAAUGUGGGAAGCAGUUGCAGAAAUAAACGUCUUAAUGACUAAA